UAGGGAAUCUUCGGCAAUGGGGGCAACCCUGACCGAGCAACGCCGCGUGAGUGAAGAAGGUUUUCGGAUCGUAAAGCUCUGUUGUAAGAGAAGAACGUGUGUGAGAGUGGAAAGUUCACACAGUGACGGUAACUUACCAGAAAGGGACGGCUAACUACGUGCCAGCAGCCGCGGUAAUACGUAGGUCCCGAGCGUUAUCCGGAUUUAUUGGGCGUAAAGCGAGCGCAGGCGGUUUAAUAAGUCUGAAGUUAAAGGCAGUGGCUUAACCAUUGUUCGCUUUGGAAACUGUUAAACUUGAGUGCAGAAGGGGAGAGUGGAAUUCCAUGUGUAGCGGUGAAAUGCGUAGAUAUAUGGAGGAACACCGGUGGCGAAAGCGGCUCUCUGGUCUGUAACUGACGCUGAGGCUCGAAAGCGUGGGGAGCAAACAGG
RNAcentral lists this ribosomal RNA (429 nucleotides) under bacterium. RNAcentral's name for it is "partial 16S ribosomal RNA". It matches the Rfam family "Bacterial small subunit ribosomal RNA", at positions 355 to 776 of the family's 1533-position model. The record is from RNAcentral.